AUGCUCGGAAGGGCGUCGACCGGAGACUGCAAAGUGUUGUACAUCGGCAUGUCUCCCAGGCCGAACAGACAGCAGAUAUGUAAGGUCCUCACCCUCUCGGUCGACCAUCAGUGGAGAGAGACAGGGUGCCCGCCGGCCAGGGUCAUGACGGGCCACUCAGGGGGAGCAGCAGCAGCCGUCAAAGGGGUUGCCUACUUCUUGCCGUCCUUUCUGCGAGCUCCGGCGCCCGGCAACAAGGGAUACAUCAUGGCGUACGACCUGGAGAAGGAGGUCUCGCGGUCGGCCUCUGUGCCAGCCCCGGCACCCGGCAGCAAGCAGGUAGUGCACAAGUUGAGCCACGGCUUGGCCGAGCUGGGCGGCUGCUUGGCCCUAAUGUACGGGGACGAGCACGAGUUCAUGGAGCUGUGGUUGCUCGUGGACCCCGACCAGGCUACCUGGUCCAUGCAGUGCACCAUCACAGCGCCGUAUCGUUACCAGGGGGUCCAAGGGUCACAUCUUGGCCUGGAUAUGGCGGAGCCCCUCUGGUUGCUAGAAGAUGGCAGGAUCAUCAUCUGGAUGUGGAUGUCGGGAGAACGUCCUCACGCAGUGUUGUGUAUGUAUGAUCCAAGAACCAUGGCAUAUACAGAUGUGGCGGACAUGCCAAAUUACACGCUAGCAGGUGUGUUUACUGGGAGCUUGUUGGGAUGA
Molecule: ribosomal RNA, 687 nt
Filed under: Triticum aestivum (bread wheat)
Lineage: Eukaryota; Viridiplantae; Streptophyta; Magnoliopsida; Poales; Poaceae
Description: partial small subunit ribosomal RNA
Source: RNAcentral